GGUCGCUUAGCUCAGUUGGUUAGAGCGUGGUGCUAAUAAGUUCCCUUGAUAACGCCAAGGUCGCAGGUUCGACCCCUGCAGUGAUCA
RNAcentral lists this transfer RNA (87 nucleotides) under Pyronema domesticum. Its description in RNAcentral is "tRNA-Ile". It matches the Rfam family "tRNA". Rfam says of the family: Transfer RNA (tRNA) molecules are approximately 80 nucleotides in length. Their secondary structure includes four short double-helical elements and three loops (D, anti-codon, and T loops). Lineage: Eukaryota; Fungi; Ascomycota; Pezizomycetes; Pezizales; Pyronemataceae. The record is from RNAcentral.